This 401-nucleotide ribosomal RNA is filed under the name uncultured bacterium. Its description in RNAcentral is "partial 16S ribosomal RNA". It matches the Rfam family "Archaeal small subunit ribosomal RNA", at positions 473 to 873 of the family's 1478-position model. The record is from RNAcentral.
ACACCGGCGGCCCGAGUGGUGAUCGUGAUUAUUGGGUCUAAAGGGUCCGUAGCCGGUUUGGUCAGUCCUCCGGGAAAUCUGAUAGCUCAACUAUUAGGCUUUCGGGGGAUACUGCCAGACUUGGAACCGGGAGAGGUAAGAGGUACUACAGGGGUAGGAGUGAAAUCUUGUAAUCCCUGUGGGACCACCUGUGGCGAAGGAGUCUUACCAGAACGGGUUCGACGGUGAGGGACGAAAGCUGGGGGCACGAACCGGAUUAGAUCCCCGGGUAGUCCCAGCCGUAAACGAUGCUCGCUAGGUGUCAGGCAUGGCGCGACCGUGUCUGGUGCCGCAGGGAAGCCGUGAAGCGAGCCACCUGGGAAGUACGGCCGCAAGGCUGAAACUUAAAUGAAUUGGCGGGG